GAUGAACGCUGGCGGCGUGCCUAAUACAUGCAAGUCGAGCGAACAGACGAGGAGCUUGCUCCUCUGACGUUAGCGGCGGACGGGUGAGUAACACGUGGAUAACCUACCUAUAAGACUGGGAUAACUUCGGGAAACCGGAGCUAAUACCGGAUAAUAUAUUGAACCGCAUGGUUCAAUAGUGAAAGACGGUUUUGCUGUCACUUAUAGAUGGAUCCGCGCCGCAUUAGCUAGUUGGUAAGGUAACGGCUUACCAAGGCAACGAUGCGUAGCCGACCUGAGAGGGUGAUCGGCCACACUGGAACUGAGACACGGUCCAGACUCCUACGGGAGGCAGCAGUAGGGAAUCUCCCGCAAUGGGCGAAAGCCUGACGGAGCAACGCCGCGUGAGUGAUGAAGGUCUUCGGAUCGUAAAACUCUGUUAUUAGGGAAGAACAAAUGUGUAAGUAACUAUGCACGUCUUGACGGUACCUAAUCAGAAAGCACGGCUAACUACGUG
This 496-nucleotide ribosomal RNA is filed under the name uncultured bacterium. RNAcentral's name for it is "partial 16S ribosomal RNA". It matches the Rfam family "Bacterial small subunit ribosomal RNA", at positions 28 to 507 of the family's 1533-position model. The record is from RNAcentral.